Molecule: ribosomal RNA, 434 nt
Filed under: Lysobacteraceae bacterium
Lineage: Bacteria; Pseudomonadati; Pseudomonadota; Gammaproteobacteria; Lysobacterales; Lysobacteraceae
Description: partial 23S ribosomal RNA
Rfam family: Bacterial large subunit ribosomal RNA
Source: RNAcentral
GAGUUCAUAUCGACGGCGGUGUUUGGCACCUCGAUGUCGGCUCAUCACAUCCUGGGGCUGUAGCCGGUCCCAAGGGUAUGGCUGUUCGCCAUUUAAAGUGGUACGCGAGCUGGGUUCAGAACGUCGUGAGACAGUUCGGUCCCUAUCUGCCAUGGGCGUUGGAGAUUUGAGGUGGGCUGCUCCUAGUACGAGAGGACCGGAGUGGACGUACCGCUGGUGUUCGGGUUGUCUCGCCAGAGGCAUUGCCCGGUAGCUACGUACGGAAGCGAUAACCGCUGAAAGCAUCUAAGCGGGAAGCGCGCACCAAGAUGAGAUCUCCCGGGGCUUCGAGCCCCCUGAAGGACCCUCGAAGACCACGAGGUUGAUAGGCGCGGUGUGGAAGUGCAGCAAUGCAUUGAGCUAACGCGUACUAAUGAUCCGAGCGGCUUGACCAU